UGAUAGACUCCGAGACACGGUGGAGAAAAUCAGAGGACAUGAAGGUGACUCUGCUCCAGUCCCAACUCAUUUAUACCUGAUAAUAACAAGCUGUGAACGAGAGAACACCACAGUGGAGGAGUGUGAUGGCUCCAUUUCCACGGUUUCUUUCAUCCUUCCACAUCGGCCUGAUAACUCAGAAAGCUGCCACAGUUCGGAGGAGCCAUCUCAAUGGGUGGAGGAGAUCCUGCGCACUCACACGGCUCGUGUACGUGACGUGGAACUGCUCACCGGACUCGACUUCUACCGCUCGCUGUCGCUGCCCUACACAAACACGCUUGCGCUGAAAACCUAUCUGCACACGUUCGAGGAAAACAUCUAACACCUGGUGGCGCAGCAUUACUAAACACCACAUCACUUCUCUUCCUGAUGAUUAGGUGUAUAGUUUUUAUACAGUUUAUCAUAUUUAUUGUUCAUUUCAAACUAAAUAACGAUGGUACAGCAUUUCAAACAGUUCAACUUU
Long non-coding RNA from Tachysurus fulvidraco (yellow catfish), 502 nucleotides. RefSeq lists it as uncharacterized. NCBI's taxonomy places the organism in Eukaryota, Metazoa, Chordata, Actinopteri, Siluriformes, Bagridae. The transcript has 3 exons. The record is from RefSeq and is a predicted model, not a curated record.